GUCCUGGCCCUAAACGGUGCGCAUUUGCUGUAAGAGGAAUCGACCCCUUUGUGGCGAAGCUAACGCGUUAAAUGCGCCGCCUGGGAAGUACGGCCGCAAGGUUAAACUCAAAGAAUUGACGGGGCCUGCACAAGCGGUGGAGUAUGUGGCUUAAUUCGAUGCAACGCGAAGAACCUUACCUGGCCUUGACAUGCACAUAGUAGAAGCCUGAAAGGGUGACGAGGUAGCAAUACCAGUGUGCACAGGUGCUGCAUGGCUGUCGU
RNAcentral lists this ribosomal RNA (263 nucleotides) under uncultured bacterium. RNAcentral describes it as "partial 16S ribosomal RNA". It matches the Rfam family "Bacterial small subunit ribosomal RNA", at positions 793 to 1055 of the family's 1533-position model. The record is from RNAcentral.